Molecule: ribosomal RNA, 253 nt
Filed under: uncultured bacterium
Lineage: Bacteria
Description: partial 16S ribosomal RNA
Rfam family: Bacterial small subunit ribosomal RNA
Source: RNAcentral
UACGUAGGGUGCAAGCGUUGUCCGGAAUUAUUGGGCGUAAAGAGCUCGUAGGCGGUCUGUCGCGUCGAAUGUGAAAACCCGGGGCUCAACCCCGGGCCUGCAUUCGAUACGGGCAGACUAGAGGCAUGCAGGGGAGAACGGAAUUCCUGGUGUAGCGGUGAAAUGCGCAGAUAUCAGGAGGAACACCGGUGGCGAAGGCGGGUCUCUGGGCCGAUAUUGACGCUGAGGAGCGAAAGCGUGGGGAGCAAACAGG